AACGAACGCUGGCGGCAGGCUUAACACAUGCAAGUCGAACGCCCCGCAAGGGGAGUGGCCGACGGGUGAGUAACGCGUGGGAAUCUACCCAUCCCUACGGAAUAACGCAUGGAAACGUGUGCUAAUACCGUAUACGCCCUACGGGGGAAAGAUUUAUCGGGGAUGGAUGAGCCCGCGUUGGAUUAGCUCGUUGGUGGGGUAAAGGCCUACCAAGGCGACGAUCCAUAGCUGGUCUGAGAGGAUGAUCAGCCACAUUGGGACUGAGACACGGCCCAAACUCCUACGGGAAGCAGCAGUGGGGAAUAUUGGACAAUGGGCGCAAGCCUGAUCCAGCCAUGCCGCGUGAGUGAUGAAGGCCUUAGGGUUGUAAAGCUCUUUCACCGGAGAAGAUAAUGACGGUAUCCGGAGAAGAAGCCCCGGCUAACUUCGUG
Molecule: ribosomal RNA, 431 nt
Filed under: uncultured bacterium
Lineage: Bacteria
Description: partial 16S ribosomal RNA
Rfam family: Bacterial small subunit ribosomal RNA
Source: RNAcentral